AGUGAACGCUGGCGGUAGGCCUAACACAUGCAAGUCGAACGGCAGCACAGUAAGAGCUUGCUCUUACGGGUGGCGAGUGGCGGACGGGUGAGGAAUACAUCGGAAUCUACUUUUUCGUGGGGGAUAACGUAGGGAAACUUACGCUAAUACCGCAUACGACCUACGGGUGAAAGCAGGGGAUCUUCGGACCUUGCGCGAUUGAAUGAGCCGAUGUCGGAUUAGCUAGUUGGCGGGGUAAAGGCCCGCCAAGGCGACGAUCCGUAGCUGGUCUGAGAGGAUGAUCAGCCACACUGGGACUGAGACACGGUCCAGACUCCUACGGGAGGCAGCAGUGGGGAAUAUUGGACAAUGGGCGCAAGCCUGAUCCAGCCAUACCGCGUGGGUGAAGAAGGCCUUCGGGUUGUAAAGCCCUUUUGUUGGGAAAGAAAAGCAGCAGGUUAAUACCCCGCUGUUCUGACGGUACCCAAAGAAUAAGCACCGGCUAACUUCGUG
RNAcentral lists this ribosomal RNA (492 nucleotides) under uncultured bacterium. RNAcentral describes it as "partial 16S ribosomal RNA". It matches the Rfam family "Bacterial small subunit ribosomal RNA", at positions 29 to 507 of the family's 1533-position model. The record is from RNAcentral.